RNAcentral lists this transfer RNA (77 nucleotides) under Thiomicrospira sp. RNAcentral describes it as "tRNA-Arg". It matches the Rfam family "tRNA". Rfam says of the family: Transfer RNA (tRNA) molecules are approximately 80 nucleotides in length. Their secondary structure includes four short double-helical elements and three loops (D, anti-codon, and T loops). Further hydrogen bonds mediate the characteristic L-shaped molecular structure. tRNAs have two regions of fundamental functional importance: the anti-codon, which is responsible for specific mRNA codon recognition, and the 3' end, to which the tRNAs corresponding amino acid is attached (by aminoacyl-tRNA synthetases). tRNAs cope with the degeneracy of the genetic code in two manners: having more than one tRNA (with a specific anti-codon) for a particular amino acid; and 'wobble' base-pairing, i.e. permitting non-standard base-pairing at the 3rd anti-codon position. The record is from RNAcentral. Lineage: Bacteria; Pseudomonadati; Pseudomonadota; Gammaproteobacteria; Thiotrichales; Piscirickettsiaceae. RNAcentral also lists the same sequence under 10 other names.
GCGCCCGUAGCUCAGCUGGAUAGAGCACUGCCCUCCGGAGGCAGGGGUCUGAGGUUCGAAUCCUCUCGGGCGCACCA